Molecule: long non-coding RNA, 504 nt
Organism: Onychostoma macrolepis
Lineage: Eukaryota; Metazoa; Chordata; Actinopteri; Cypriniformes; Cyprinidae
Exons: 3
Source: RefSeq, a predicted model, not a curated record
UUUGAGUCAAUCCGAGUAAGUGCUCUUAUCGCAGAGCCAGACGCACGCUAACUCUCUCACACACUCGCACCAUCAGACACACGCAGAAUCCUAAUUCUGCAACUCUGACUCAACUCCCACAAUUAUAUCUGGCGUGCCUUUGAAUUUGACAGGUUCUGAGCAUCCAGUGCUCUGCAGACGUCACCGGCCGAAUGAGUUUGUCUCGUUUCGUCUGGAGUGGAGGAGUUAACAAAAUUUGGAUCUGCACAAGUGUGUGAGGUUACUGAAUGAACGAUGCAGACGCUAAAUUUUCAUGCGCUGAUGAAGGAUUUACAUUUGGAAUUUUCCCUCAGACUCCUUCUGAAAAUGUUCCUUGGCUCCUGGUUUUUGAUUCCGCCUCCGCGUCAGCGCCGUCCACAAACCCUCUCGGGAUCUCCAUCGUCCAAACUUCCCGCAGAGGGGCGGGGCCCUCUCGAUCAGUGCCCCGCAGAUUGACGAGCCCUCAGAUGCCGAUUUACUGUAUAU